This 3545-nucleotide long non-coding RNA is filed under the name Monomorium pharaonis (pharaoh ant). RNAcentral's name for it is "uncharacterized LOC105834020, transcript variant X9". Lineage: Eukaryota; Metazoa; Arthropoda; Insecta; Hymenoptera; Formicidae. The record is from RNAcentral.
CAAGCUCGAGGAAAAGAUUUAAACUAGCGUGUUUCGUAUUGUUUCAUUAACGAUUGUACAAAUGUAUCGCGAUUCCAAUAAUUCCUGCGGUCGCACCUCGGAAAAACGCACAAGUGCCAAAUCAUCAAAUCCAAGAGCAGACGACGUACGCAGCAGUUACCCUCUCGCAGCUUUGAAACCGUGUUUCGUCGUUAAAUGGUUACUUUUUCUGCCAAAACGAAGAAAAAUACUCAUCUCUCAAGAGUCGCACUGUUGUCGCCGCUGCCAUUGCAUCAUCUUUGGUUUCGCAUAAACGGACAAACUAUUUUAUCCCUGUUGCGCGAUAUCGUAAAUACAUCAACGAGUCUCCCAAAAACAUAACAAGAUCUUUAUAUGCUAAGAUUAACAAUGUCUUAUUAUUUCUUGCUUAAAAAUCGACGCAUUCAUGCUACCAACUUUGAAAAAUAUCAAUUUAUUUUGAAACCAUUCAAAACGUUUAAAAUCUAACAGCUUUACUUUAUCAUUUACAAAAAACUUUUUUUAGAAAGAUCUUAGUAAAUACUUAAACAUAUAAAGCCAGCUUCUUUUUUAACGAUUGUCCGUUUUUGUGGUCCACAGUUUUAACAACUGUUUAGCCUUCCGCUAAGAAACAUGUUAUUCGCAAUUAGCUGUUUAUAUGUUUGCUAUUAUAAAAUACAAGAAUUUAUUUGUAUUUACGUAAUUUAUCAUGUAUGUAUAUAUAUGUGUGUGUGGGGGUGUGUGUGUGUGUUCAAUGACAUUACAGUUUAGAAAUGUCAUGAAAAUUUUAUCAAAAUUUACAAGUAUAAUAAAACGAUCAAAAUAAGAUUGUUUUAUAGGGAUUUAGCAGAGCGACUUAAUAGAAAUUUAAUCUGUUUUAAAUAAAAUUGUCUACGACGAUAUCAAUUUAUAAUCAGUUCAAUAUCAAUUAUUAAUUAUUUAUUUUUAUUAAAUUGUCACCUGUUUAUUGAAAAUAAAACUUGUUUGAUAACAAUUAACUUUCAACAGGUACAAGUCUUUCUUAUUUCCAUAAAUCCAACUACAAUGAGAUUGAAAAUGAGACUAAAUCAUCACAGAACGCUUCCGCGAUUAUCGUUUAUCCCUAACGAUUAUCGUAGUCCCCACUUACAUUUAUGAUUGCUUCAAAAUAAACGCUUAUAGAGUUAGUUGGAUUUUUGGUAAGUAAACAUUUUAAUAAUUGAAUGUAUAAACACGUUUCGUUUAUUUCGAUAUUUGUUUAAUAUAAGAGCCUGUACAUAUAUGUCUUAAUUUAAAUAAUAACUUCUUCAAAAAUUAUAGAAUGAGAAAUUGUUAGAACAUUUCAAAAUUUAUAUAUACAAGGUAACUUAUUUUAAAAAUAUAUUUAAAUACUAAAAAAACAGCGUUUCACAAUAAAUGUUUAAAUCGUUAACACAGCUUCUCACCUCCAAACGUCACCAAACGGAAGUAUAAACACAGGGAUUUUCUACUCUCAAUUCAUAGCGUUAAGAUUUUGUGAGCGUUUCGAAGCAUAUUUUUGUGAUUGUAAUUCGAACUUAGAAUAUUUUCGUGUGAUCAGCAUACUGACUUAAAAUAUCUUCGUGUGAUUGUUAACUGAAUUUGGAAUGAUUCCACAUUUAAGUGAACCAAACUUCCGAUUAAUUAUUAAUAGAUUAUUAUACAUCUUCAUUUUGUUCUUUUUUGUAAAUUAGAUUCCGCUUGCGAUUCCGAGACGAGUGCAAUUAUUUUAUCGUGUGCGAGCUGACUCUCAACUUAAGGUGCGAAUUUCGAUUCGAGUUAAUAUUAAUAAAUUAAAGAUUCUAGCAUAAAGUUAGUUUUCGUUUCUUGUUUGUAUAGUAAUUAUCCCGCGCGUGAAGUUGGUGAACGACGAGUGUCUUGCAUCCUCCAUUUCUUCAAUACCGUCCUUACAAAAGGCUAGCGUGGCAACGUCACGUGGCAGUGGUUUGGGGUAACAAUUGGAAAGAAUUAUUAAAAAUAGAGGAAGAAGAUUCAUUCGUCACAGAAUCUUAUUACGAACAAUUCAACAAAGGCACUCAUUUUUAUUGAUAAAACGUUAUCAAAUUUAAUAUUAAAUAAUUUAAAUGACAAGUUAAUAAUUUUUGUUAAUGGAACUUUCGCUACAGUUCCUCAACUAAAAAAUUCGAAUUGUCAGUUAUGGACAACUGUCAUAAGACAUAAUAAUAAAACAUUUCCAAUAGUGUACAUUAUUGUGGAAGGACACACAACGCAAAACUAUAUCAACGUGUUAAAAAAAAUAAAAAAUAUUUUUAAAAUAAAUCCUGACAUUGCAAUGUCAGACUUUGAAAACGCCGAACAAAAAAAAAGCCUUACGUACGGUUUUCUCCAACAUUAAAAUUAUUGGCUGCUACUUCCUUAUUACAGCCAGGCGUUAGUACACAAUACUGAAAAACACGGAAUAUUAAAAAAUGAUAAAAAUGGAGUAGGUUGGGGUGCGACAAAAUUAUUGAUAUCGUUAGUCUUUUUACUAGAAAAAUUAAUAGUAGAAGGUUUCAAUCUAAUAUUAGGAAUUAUUUUUCAAGAUUGCACGUAUUUGCAGUUUUUCCAAUAUUAUAAAGAUACGUGGAUAAACAUUUUAAGCCUGAUUAUUUUUCGGUUUUCGAACAAAUACACCGAACCAAUAACGUAUCUGAAAGACACAACCGAGAACUUCAGUUAAAUCUGAAAAAACACACAACAAUUGCUGAAUUUUUAGGUAAAUUAAACGCCAUAUCUCGUAAAAUUUUUUCCAUACCAUCUUUUCCAUACCAUAUUAAUUAUUCUUAAAAUGAAAUAUUAUUUACUGUUGCGGAAUGCGCGAGGGAGCCUCGCGAGUGCGGCCGCGAGGCUGCGGCAUGUAUCGAUCACGACAUCCAAUCGCGAUCCGCGGGAUUCGCUCCACGCGUAGCGUGCGUGAAUGCGAGCAACCGCUUGCUUUCUGAAACCAGGAAAACAAAGUAAAGGAUCCCUCCCAUUGUCAUCACGCGGCGAAAAAUGUUGUGACGUACGCAGCCCUAAUUGGGCAGGAAGGAUCUUACGAUCCUUCUAAAUCGCGAACACCGCCGCGCACCCAUUUUUCCGCAGCAGAGCGUUUUCGAACGGAAACCGCAGCAGUCAUCCCUCCGUGUCUCGCGGAUUUCUCUUGUUCGGUAAAUCGCGCUACACCGAAUAUCCGUGCUCCGAGUUUCCGCAGUUCAUUGGAUUCGGCUCGCGAGUCUCGCUCCGCCGAUUCCAUAAUCAAGUAACCAACAAUCUUUUGGAGCCCUCCGCUCCGCUCCUUUAGGGUAUUUUACAUUUCGUGCCUAAGCUCGGAUUGCGAGUGUCACUCCACCGCAGUUUUCUCCAAGGACAAAACGACCAGCUCGAGACGCAAGUUUCUUCCGCCGAAGUCUAUACGAAUCAUAAGAGACGAAGGAAGAAGCGAUAAUUGUCAUUCGCGAGCGAUCAAAAUACGAUAGUGGCAAUCUCGCAGUGUCACGAGUGAUUGUUACGAUAAACGAGCGUUCAGUUCAGAAUAAAACUUAUUGCUGCAUUUCAAGUUCAUCUGAGAA